RNAcentral lists this ribosomal RNA (231 nucleotides) under uncultured Acanthamoeba. RNAcentral describes it as "partial 18S ribosomal RNA". It matches the Rfam family "Eukaryotic small subunit ribosomal RNA", at positions 97 to 281 of the family's 1831-position model. Lineage: Eukaryota; Discosea; Longamoebia; Acanthamoebidae. The record is from RNAcentral.
CUCGUUAAAUCAGUUAUAGUUUAUUUGAUGGUCUCUUUGUUCUUCUUUUUACCUACUUGGAUAACCGUGGUAAUUCUAGAGCUAAUACAUGCGCAAGGUCCCGAGCGCGGAGGGUAGGGCUUCACGGCUCUACUCUUGCAUGCGUAGAGGGAUGUAUUUAUUAGGUUAAACAACCAGCAUUUUUUUCUAUUUCUGGUGAUUCAUAGUAACUCUUUCGGUAUCGCAUUCAUG